This 610-nucleotide ribosomal RNA is filed under the name Canoparmelia texana. RNAcentral describes it as "partial large subunit ribosomal RNA". Lineage: Eukaryota; Fungi; Ascomycota; Lecanoromycetes; Lecanorales; Parmeliaceae. The record is from RNAcentral.
CUCAGUACGGCGAGUGAAGCGGCAAGCUCAAUUUGAAAUCUGGGGGUCCGAGUUGUAAUUYGCAGAGUGUGUUUCGGGCGAGGCCGCGUUUUAAGUCCAUUGGAACAUGGUGUCAUAGAGGGUGAGAAUCCCGUAUGCGACCGUGGUCCGAGCCCAUGUGAAGCCUCUUCCACGAGUCGAGUUGUUUGGGAAUGCADCUCUUAAUGGGKGGUAAAUUUCAUCUAAAGCUAAAUACUGGCKGGAGACCGAUYGCGCMAAGUAGAGUGAUCGAAAGAUGAAAAGCACUUUGAAAAGAGAGUUAAAAAGUACGUGAAAUUGUUGAARGGGAAGCGCUUGCRACCAGACCUGCCCGUAGGUGAUCAGCCUCUGUUCUCRGGGGUGCACUCGCUCUACAAUCAGGCCAGCAUCGGUAUGGGCGGUCGGAUAAAGGCCUUGGGAAUGUAGCUCCCUYUCGGGGGAGUCUUAUAGCCCUCGGUGCARUGCGGCCASCCGGGACCGAGSACCGCGCUUCKGCUAGGAUGCUGGCRUAAUGKUUGCAAGCGACCCGUCUUGAAACACGGACCAAGGAGUCUAACAUCUAUGCGAGUGUUUGGGUGUCAAACCCAUACGC